This 495-nucleotide ribosomal RNA is filed under the name uncultured bacterium. RNAcentral's name for it is "partial 16S ribosomal RNA". It matches the Rfam family "Bacterial small subunit ribosomal RNA", at positions 28 to 506 of the family's 1533-position model. The record is from RNAcentral.
GAUGAACGCUGGCGGCGUGCCUAAUACAUGCAAGUCGAGCGAACAGACGAGGAGCUUGCUCCUCUGACGUUAGCGGCGGACGGGUGAGUAACACGUGGAUAACCUACCUAUAAGACUGGGAUAACUUCGGGAAACCGGAGCUAAUACCGGAUAAUAUAUUGAACCGCAUGGUUCAAUAGUGAAAGACGGUUUUGCUGUCACUUUAGAUGGAUCCGCGCCGUAUUAGCUAGUUGGUAAGGUAACGGCUUACCAAGGCAACGAUGCGUAGCCGACCUGAGAGGGUGAUCGGCCACACUGGAACUGAGACACGGUCCAGACUCCUACGGGAGGCAGCAGUAGGGAAUCUUCCGCAAUGGGCGAAAGCUCGACGGAGCAACGCCGCGUGAGUGAUGAAGGUCUUCGGAUCGUAAAACUCUGUUAUUAGGGAAGAACAAAUGUGUAAGUAACUAUGCACGUCUUGACGGUACCUAAUCAGAAAGCCACGGCUAACUACGU